AACCCUGCAGAGCAAAAUCACGGGUCGAGCUUUCGGCAAAGUUGAUCACUCGAAGAGAUUCCGAGAUAUCACAACACACACUCACGAAAUUGACUGUCGAGCAAAACCAAAUGCAGGAAACAAAGCAGAAAUAGAGUAAUAUGCGAAGAGAGUUGAGUCCCGGCUUGAAGAUCCUCUGGGUCUGGACACUUGGAACCGCCGCCGUACUUGUUACCAGUGUGGUGAGGACAAGGAUGAGGGACAUGGAAACUCUUACCAACACCGAGCAUCAGCCGCAGCCGCAGCAACACGACACGGAGACACUGAUGGCGGACAGUUCGACUCAGUCCAGUGAACUGAUUCGAGAAGAGAAGCCGUAGGUUUGUUCGACACCAAUACAAGUACCCCAGUUUUGUAUGUUUUGUUUUUGUUAAUUUCCUCAACUUGGAUUGGAGGUUCACGUUUUGAGUUUGGAGAAAUGGGUACGCAAUGUGUUUGAUGAAUGUCCUCACUGGUAACUUUUUGACCCAAUUUUUGAAGAUUUGACUGCAGUAGUAAAUUACUACUAGUAAUUUAUAUUGGUACGAAUAAUUUGAAUUUGUUGAUACAGAAGAAAUGGAGGUUGAUUUCACUGUU
Long non-coding RNA from Malus domestica (apple), 615 nucleotides. RefSeq lists it as uncharacterized. The record is from RefSeq and is a predicted model, not a curated record. Lineage: Eukaryota; Viridiplantae; Streptophyta; Magnoliopsida; Rosales; Rosaceae.